This 567-nucleotide ribosomal RNA is filed under the name uncultured bacterium. Its description in RNAcentral is "partial 16S ribosomal RNA". It matches the Rfam family "Bacterial small subunit ribosomal RNA", at positions 355 to 912 of the family's 1533-position model. The record is from RNAcentral.
UGGGGAAUAUUGCACAAUGGGCGCAAGCCUGAUGCAGCCAUGCCGCGUGUGUGAAGAAGGCCUUCGGGUUGUAAAGCACUUUCAGCGAGGAGGAAGGUGGUGAGCUUAAUACGCUCGUCAAUUGACGUUACUCGCAGAAGAAGCACCGGCUAACUCCGUGCCAGCAGCCGCGGUAAUACGGAGGGUGCAAGCGUUAAUCGGAAUUACUGGGCGUAAAGCGCACGCAGGCGGUUUGUUAAGUCAGAUGUGAAAUCCCCGGGCUCAACCUGGGAACUGCAUUUGAAACUGGCAAGCUAGAGUCUCGUAGAGGGGGGUAGAAUUCCAGGUGUAGCGGUGAAAUGCGUAGAGAUCUGGAGGAAUACCGGUGGCGAAGGCGGCCCCCUGGACGAAGACUGACGCUCAGGUGCGAAAGCGUGGGGCAGCAAACAGGAUUAGAUACCCUGGUAGUCCACGCUGUAAACGAUGUCGAUUUUGGAGGUUGUGCCCUUGAGGCGUGGCUUCCGGAGCUAACGCGUUAAAUCGACCGCCUGGGGAGUACGGCCGCAAGGUUAAAACUUAAAGGAAUUG